Molecule: unclassified non-coding RNA, 516 nt
Filed under: Aspergillus fumigatus
Lineage: Eukaryota; Fungi; Ascomycota; Eurotiomycetes; Eurotiales; Aspergillaceae
Description: sequence contains ITS1, 5.8S rRNA gene
Rfam family: 5.8S ribosomal RNA (bases 135-288)
Source: RNAcentral
AUUGCUUCGGCGGGCCCGCCGUUUCGACGGCCGCCGGGGAGGCCUUGCGCCCCCGGGCCCGCGCCCGCCGAAGACCCCAACAUGAACGCUGUUCUGAAAGUAUGCAGUCUGAGUUGAUUAUCGUAAUCAGUUAAAACUUUCAACAACGGAUCUCUUGGUUCCGGCAUCGAUGAAGAACGCAGCGAAAUGCGAUAAGUAAUGUGAAUUGCAGAAUUCAGUGAAUCAUCGAGUCUUUGAACGCACAUUGCGCCCCCUGGUAUUCCGGGGGGCAUGCCUGUCCGAGCGUCAUUGCUGCCCUCAAGCACGGCUUGUGUGUUGGGCCCCCGUCCCCCUCUCCCGGGGGACGGGCCCGAAAGGCAGCGGCGGCACCGCGUCCGGUCCUCGAGCGUAUGGGGCUUUGUCACCUGCUCUGUAGGCCCGGCCGGCGCCAGCCGACACCCAACUUUAUUUUUCUAAGGUUGACCUCGGAUCAGGUAGGGAUACCCGCUGAACUUAAGCAUAUCAAUAAGCGGAGGA